GACGAACCGAGCGAACGUUAUUCGGAAUCACUGGGCUUAAAGGGCGCGUAGGCGGGCGAUCAAGUCAGGGGUGAAAGCCCCCAGCUCAACUGGGGAAGUGCCCCUGAUACUGAUCGUCUCGAGGGAGAUAGGGGCGUGCGGAACUUCCGGUGGAGCGGUGAAAUGCGUAGAUAUCGGGAGGAACACCGGUGGCGAAAGCGGCGCGCUGGAUCUCUUCUGACGCUGAGGCGCGAAAGCCAGGGGAGCGAACGGG
RNAcentral lists this ribosomal RNA (253 nucleotides) under uncultured bacterium. RNAcentral describes it as "partial 16S ribosomal RNA". It matches the Rfam family "Bacterial small subunit ribosomal RNA", at positions 524 to 776 of the family's 1533-position model. The record is from RNAcentral.